GUGGGGAAUUUUGGUCAAUGGGCGCAAGCCUGAUCCAGCAAUGCCGCGUGCAGGAAGAAGGCCUUCGGGUUGUAAACUGCUUUUGUACGGAACGAAACGGUCCGGGUUAAUACCCUGGGCUAAUGACGGUACCGUAAGAAUAAGCACCGGCUAACUACGUGCCAGCAGCCGCGGUAAUACGUAGGGUGCAAGCGUUAAUCGGAAUUACUGGGCGUAAAGCGUGCGCAGGAGGUUUUGUAAGACAGGCGUGAAAUCCCCGGGCUCAACCUGGGAAUUGCGCUUGUGACUGCAAGGCUGGAGUGCGGCAGAGGGGGAUGGAAUUCCGCGUGUAGCAGUGAAAUGCGUAGAUAUGCGGAGGAACACCGAUGGCGAAGGCAAUCCCCUGGGCCUGCACUGACGCUCAUGCACGAAAGCGUGGGGAGCAAACAGGAUUAGAUACCCCAGUAGUCC
This 450-nucleotide ribosomal RNA is filed under the name uncultured bacterium. RNAcentral's name for it is "partial 16S ribosomal RNA". It matches the Rfam family "Bacterial small subunit ribosomal RNA", at positions 354 to 796 of the family's 1533-position model. The record is from RNAcentral.